This 750-nucleotide ribosomal RNA is filed under the name uncultured bacterium. RNAcentral describes it as "bacterial SSU rRNA". It matches the Rfam family "Bacterial small subunit ribosomal RNA", at positions 28 to 774 of the family's 1533-position model. The record is from RNAcentral.
GAUGAACGCUAGCGGCAGGCCUAAUACAUGCAAGUCGUACGGGAGGGGCCCCUUCGGGGGCCUUGAGAGUGGCGCACGGGUGCGCAACGCGUAUGCAACCAACCCCCCGCAGGCGGAUAGCCGGUGGAAACGCCGGAUAAUACGCCAUGGUUCCCGAGGAGGGCAUCCUCGUUGGGAUAAAGCUUUUGCGGCGGGGGACGGGCAUGCGUCCCAUUAGAUAGUAGGCGGGGUGACGGCCCACCUAGUCGACGAUGGGUAGGGGAUCUGAGAGGACGGUCCCCCACACUGGUACUGAGACACGGACCAGACUCCUGCGGGAGGCAGCAGUAAGGGAUAUUGGUCAAUGGUCGGAAGACUGAACCAGCCAUGCCGCGUGAGGGAAUGAGGCCCUACGGGUCGUGAACCUCUUUUGUCCAGGGACAAUGACGGCGUCGCGAACGUCGUUUGAGGGUACUGGAAGAAUAAGCGUCGGCUAACUCCGUGCCAGCAGCCGCGGUAAUACGGAGGACGCGAGCGUUAUCCGGAUUCAUUGGGUUUAAAGGGUGCGCAGGCGGCCGUGCAAGUCAGCGGUGAAAGCCCGGGGCCCAACCCCGGAAGUGCCGUUGAUACUGUGCGGCUGGAAUGCGGUCGAGGCGGGCGGAACGUGGCGUGUAGCGGUGAAAUGCGUAGAUAUGCCACAGAACGCCGAUAGCGAAGGCAGCUCGCCAGGCCUGCAUUGACGCUCGGGCACGAAAGCGUGGGGAUCGAACA